Molecule: ribosomal RNA, 931 nt
Filed under: uncultured bacterium
Lineage: Bacteria
Description: bacterial SSU rRNA
Rfam family: Bacterial small subunit ribosomal RNA
Source: RNAcentral
AGAGUUUGAUCCUGGCUCAGAACGAACGCUGGCGGCGUGCCUAACACAUGCAAGUCGAGCGAGAAAGCCCGCAAGGGUGAGUAAAGCGGCGCACGGGUGAGUAACACGUGGGUAAUCUGCCCUGGAGUCCGGAAUAACUCGCCGAAAGGCGUGCUAAUGCCGGAUAAGACCACGGGAGCCUUGGCUCCUGUGAGAAAAGGUGGCCUCUGUACACAAGCUAUCGCCCCAGGAUGAGCCCGCGUCCCAUCAGCUAGUUGGCGGGGUAACGGCCCACCAAGGCUACGACGGGUAGCUGGUCUGAGAGGACGAUCAGCCACACUGGAACUGAGACACGGUCCAGACUCCUACGGGAGGCAGCAGUGGGGAAUCUUGCGCAAUGGGCGAAAGCCUGACGCAGCAACGCCGCGUGUGUGAUGAAGGUCUUCGGAUCGUAAAGCACUGUCGCGAGGGACGAAUAAGGGUCGGGCUAACAUCCCGGCACGAUGACGGUACCUCGAGAGGAAGCACCGGCUAACUCUGUGCCAGCAGCCGCGGUAAUACAGAGGGUGCAAGCGUUGUUCGGAAUUAUUGGGCGUAAAGCGCGUGUAGGCGGCUUUGCAAGUCGGAUGUGAAAGCCCUCGGCUUAACCGAGGAAGUGCGUUCGAAACUGCCGAGCUUGAGUACCGGAGAGGGUGGCGGAAUUCCCGGUGUAGAGGUGAAAUUCGUAGAUAUCGGGAGGAACACCAGUGGCGAAGGCGGCCACCUGGACGGAUACUGACGCUGAGACGCGAAAGCGUGGGUAGUAAACAGGAUUAGAUACCCUGGUAGUCCACGCUGUAAACGAUGAGCGCUAGGUGUUGUGGGUGUUGACCCCCGCAGUGCCGCAGCUAAUGCAUUAAGCGCUCCGCCUGGGGAGUACGGCCGUAAGGCUAAAACUCAAAGGAAUUGAUGG